GAACGCUGGCGGCAUGCCUUACACAUGCAAGUCGAACGGCAGCACGGGAGCAAUCCUGGUGGCGAGUGGCGAACGGGUGAGUAAUAUAUCGGAACGUGCCCAGUCGUGGGGGAUAACGUAGCGAAAGCUACGCUAAUACCGCAUACGAUCUAUGGAUGAAAGCGGGGAUCGCAAGACCUCGCGCGAUUGGAGCGGCCGAUAUCAGAUUAGGUAGUUGGUGAGGUAAAGGCUCACCAAGCCGACGAUCUGUAGCUGGUCUGAGAGGACGACCAGCCACACUGGGACUGAGACACGGCCCAGACUCCUACGGGAGGCAGCAGUGGGAAUUUUGGACAAUGGGCGCAAGCCUGAUCCAGCAAUGCCGCGUGCAGGAUGAAGGCCUUCGGGUUGUAAACUGCUUUGUACGGAACGAAACGGUGAGCUCUAAUACAGUUUGCUAAUGACGGUACCGUAAGAAUAAGCACCGGCUAACUACGUG
RNAcentral lists this ribosomal RNA (478 nucleotides) under uncultured bacterium. RNAcentral's name for it is "bacterial SSU rRNA". It matches the Rfam family "Bacterial small subunit ribosomal RNA", at positions 31 to 507 of the family's 1533-position model. The record is from RNAcentral.